GUGAGUUUUUGGCCACUGAGAAAAAUCGUAUUUAAACACACGUAAAAAAACGAUAUUUUUACGUGAAAAUAUAUCAUUUGUUGUAAAACGCAUUGCCACGGACAUUUAUUUCUCGUGUUGAACAUGAUAUCUCACUCGUUCGCUGCGCUCACUCGUGAGAUAUCAUGUUCAACACUCGAAAUAAAUCUGGUAUUUCCGCGUUCCCAUGUAUUAUUCUCUAUUUAAUGCAUGUAUGUUGAAAUAUGCGCAUCGCACGCGAUUGUUAUGUAUAUUAAUGAGUGAAAUUUUAAAAGAUUUGUGCAUGAUAAAGCCAACUUCACUUAAAACCAUAGCGUGCACAACUAGGAUUUAGUCUUUUAGUGGGACAGGUGCAGACUGCAGAGUAUACUAUAAAACUCCGAUCAAACACUAGGACCAGGG
This is a non-coding RNA of Paramuricea clavata, 420 nucleotides long. The record is from the annotation of a GenBank genome assembly. NCBI's taxonomy places the organism in Eukaryota, Metazoa, Cnidaria, Anthozoa, Malacalcyonacea, Plexauridae.